GAUGAACGCUAGCUACAGGCUUAACACAUGCAAGUCGAGGGGCAGCGCAGUGUAGCAAUACAUGGGCGGCGACCGGCGCACGGGUGCGUAACGCGUAUCCAACCUUCCCGUUACUCAGGGAUAGCCUUCCGAAAGGGAGAUUAAUACCUGAUGGUGUUUGAAUUCCGCAUGUUAUUCAAACUAAAGAUUUAUCGGUAACGGAUGGGGAUGCGUGACAUUAGAUAGUAGGCGGGGUAACGGCCCACCUAGUCUACGAUGUCUAGGGGUUCUGAGAGGAAGGUCCCCCACACUGGAACUGAGACACGGUCCAGACUCCUACGGGAGGCAGCAGUGAGGAAUAUUGGUCAAUGGAGGCAACUCUGAACCAGCCAAGUAGCGUGCAGGAUGACGGCCCUAUGGGUUGUAAACUGCUUUUAUGUGGGAAUAAAGUCAGGGACGUGUCCCUGUUUGCAUGUACCACAGGAAUAAGGACCGGCUAAUUCCGUG
Molecule: ribosomal RNA, 486 nt
Filed under: uncultured bacterium
Lineage: Bacteria
Description: bacterial SSU rRNA
Rfam family: Bacterial small subunit ribosomal RNA
Source: RNAcentral